RNAcentral lists this transfer RNA (71 nucleotides) under Spirochaetales bacterium. RNAcentral describes it as "tRNA-Gln". It matches the Rfam family "tRNA". From Rfam's summary of the family: Transfer RNA (tRNA) molecules are approximately 80 nucleotides in length. Lineage: Bacteria; Pseudomonadati; Spirochaetota; Spirochaetia; Spirochaetales. The record is from RNAcentral.
UGUCGAUUGGUGUAAUGGUAGCACACGAGAUUCUGGUUCUUGUUGUGGAGGUUCGAGCCCUUCAUCGACAG